Molecule: ribosomal RNA, 254 nt
Filed under: uncultured bacterium
Lineage: Bacteria
Description: partial 16S ribosomal RNA
Rfam family: Bacterial small subunit ribosomal RNA
Source: RNAcentral
UACGUAGGGGGCGAGCGUUGUCCGGAUUUAUUGGGCGUAAAGAGCGUGUAGGCGGUUCGGUAGGUCCGUUGUGAAAACUCGAGGCUCAACCUCGAGACGCCGAUGGAAACCCUCGAACUAGAGUCCGGAAGAGGAGAGUGGAAUUCCUGGUGUAGCGGUGAAAUGCGCAGAUAUCAGGAAGAACACCCGUGGCUAAGGCGGCUCUCUAGUACGGUACUGACGCUGAGACGCGAAAAGCGUGGGGAGCGAACAGG